UCUUUUAUUUAUUUUACAUCUUUUAUUUGAAUGAUUCGUUGUAAUUACUCUAUGUCUAUGUGGAGUUAAACUUCUCGUUCUUGGAUUAUAUUUACUUACAAUAUGAUUGUUUAGUGAUUUUGAUUCGGCAUGAUUUGUUUAUCAUAUUAGUUGUUCUUAUAUUCUUGUGAUUACUAUUUUGAUGCUUGAUCACCAUUGAAAUAAAC
Molecule: long non-coding RNA, 206 nt
Filed under: Solanum tuberosum (potato)
Lineage: Eukaryota; Viridiplantae; Streptophyta; Magnoliopsida; Solanales; Solanaceae
Description: long non-coding RNA (STUB_LNC008103)
Source: RNAcentral